CUUGUUCACUUCUUUUUUAAGUGCAUCUAUUGGCAAAACAUGAGCCCAAGGAAAAAAACAAAGGAGAAGCCAGCACCCUGCCUGGCAUUGCAGACUCUGCGGGGAAAAGUGUCCCCAGGAGAGAUGGGCUUGACGGAGACCCUGCACACAGGCAGGCAGCUCUCUCCGUGCCGGUGUUUGGAUCAGGCAGAGACAGCUUUUCUCCAUCCCCAGAUUUUCCCAGUCAUGCCCUUUCUCUGCUUGAAGGAUUUGCCUGGGGAGAAUUCGAAGAUCUCCACAAGGUACCUCACAGGAACCUCACAGGUUCCUCACCCUCCAUUGCAUGCUCUGAGACACAAAGCCGGGAUUUACAAGGGAACCAAGAAUUUCCUGCCAAACCUGCCAAAGCAGGAGCUAGCAGGCAGCAUGGCAGGAGCGCUUGCCCAGUGUUCUGGCACAGAUCCAGUGCCUAUGGAAGGAGAUGGGAGAUGUUUUUCUUGGUUCCCCUUGAAUAGCAUUCAGGACAUUUUCUGCCUCUCACCUAUGAUGGAAGGAAUCGCUCAUGAAAUCCUCACACAGUCACCACUACCAGGGACGACCACAGCCCUGCGAAGGCACGAUUCAGAGAAGAGACGGCGUUAUGCCUGGCCUUGCUGCCUGCUGACUAGUGCCAGAUGAGGAAGACCCAUCCAGGGCAUGAAGGCUUUCCUCUGGGAGCAGGGCUUCAAGGCAAGCCCUGCAACACCCUCCUGCUCCCUGCAAUGGCAUUGCUAACCCACGGCCAGCGCGGGUCUUGCCUUUGGGGAGAUGAGGCUGACGGGUGAGCUUCGCUCCAGCUCAGGCCACAGGGCCAACUUGUGGAGGCUGAGCCCUGGGGGCCAUGGGGAGCUGGGGCAGGAAGGGUCUGCGAUGGACUCGCUGUCUCCAGGGCAGGAGGGAAAGCAGCACUCCUCUUCCACAAACACUUUGUGUGUGUGCUGGCUCUCCAGGAAAAUAUUUGUCGUGGUCUGAGGCACAUCUUUUUAAAAGCCUCAGCAUUUUCACCUGCGAGCUUCAUGCAGGAGACAGACGAUUAAGAAAAUAAAACUCUCAACCAAAGAAAACGCCCCUAGCCC
This 1094-nucleotide long non-coding RNA is filed under the name Apteryx owenii (little spotted kiwi). RNAcentral describes it as "lncRNA (ENSAOWG00000018392.1)". The record is from RNAcentral. Lineage: Eukaryota; Metazoa; Chordata; Aves; Apterygiformes; Apterygidae.